UCAGAGUGAAUGACAAGUGUCAAAAAAAAAAAUCCUUCAUUUAUUAGGUGAUGCUCGAUGACGCUUUAUUUUCCGUGUAAGCGUUUUGCUAGAUUUCCAAACUAAAAAUUUUCUUGAUAAAAAAAAUAAAAGAAAAAAACGAAAAAUUGUCCUCCCUUCCUUUAAUCUCUUUCUCAAGGUCGAAGAUCAAUAAUCGAGGUAUGUUCGCCGCCUUCGUCUUCACCACUUCCAUAGUUACAUAUGGUGCCAUUGAUUGCCGAUAAGUUUAGGAUUCUAACAGUGGGUUUAGGUGAAUUGGGUGAAACUAUGACGCCUCAAGCCUACGCUCUGCCCUGAAGCGGCAUCCAUGAAAUUCUGAAGAAGGGGAUUCUAUUACAUGCAUUAUCGAGGUAUGGUUCUAUACUUGUAUUUGUAUACUGGCUGUUAAAUGAUAACAUUGUUGUUCGAAACGAACCCACGGCCCGAUUAUCCAUGUGAAAAAAUUUAAGCAGAAGCGUCCCUCCCUCUUCGUCUUCUCUAUCAUAUUCAAAGUUUAGAAACGUAAGCAUUUUCAGUACCGUCUCUUCUCUUCUAUAUUUAAUCCUGCAUUUGUUUUCUUUUUUGCUUGACAUUCGUACUCGAUCUCAAUCGGAUUCGGCGACUCUCUGUUUCAUUUACCUUCGUUCCACGUUCAAACCGUUUUCGCCCAAAUGAUUUUAUAAAAAAAUAUAUAUCUUCUCAUUCUACUUUUUUCCGCUAUUGUAUAUCCUAAUAUUAGCUUCAAAAGCAAUUUAUCAAACAUCUCAACGUUAUUUUACAAAAUUUUGGCUACUAUUAAUGUUUUUUGGACGCUCACAUAUAGCAGUUUUGUUUGAUAAUUAAGUUUUGACUAAUGUAUAUAAGCGAAUUUGGGUUAAACAUUUCCGCCUCCUGUUAUUAUUUGUGCACAACAAAUAUCUCCUUCUAAUUCUUUAUGUAGUUUUGCUUUGUGUUAUGCUACAGCUAGGUUUUGUAUUUCAUAGUGACACCUGCUUUUGAGGACUUGAAGCCAACAAUCUGUGUAUGAAAAUAGUAUCAAAUAGGGAAGAUGAAAUCUAAUGAUCAAUUCCUAGAUUACUUGUUAACAAUACUCUUUCAACUCACUCACAUGUAGCCCAGAAGUUUGAAUGGCUCGUGGAGUAGUUAUUUUUGUGGCUGUUUUUCUCUUUACAAGGAAAAACAGCAAGAACUAGGAGUUCAUAUCUUCAAAAAUUAGUAAGAUUUUUAUCGAUUUCUUUAAGUUGAUACAAAUACCGGCACAGUAUUUGCAAAAAUGUCUGGUGACACUCUUCUAAUGUUACCAAGACGCCAUGGGAGAGAAGGUGGGAAAGCUAUACAACUUUUAUUAACUGCCGGAGGCUUUGUGAUCGCUUCCAUAAGAGGAUGGCUUUGAGAGUUUAUGCUUUUCUACCUACAUUGAUAACAUCGAACAUUUUGGCAUUUCAUAGGGUAACCUUCUUAGGAAUCUCUUACUUUCGUAAAUCGUAACUGUUAAGCUUUUUGUGGAGUUCUCCUUUUUGUGAAUCUGUCGGGCAAGUGCUGAAAAGGUAAAAAGGAUAUUGUUUGAGCAGUGUCUACUUUCAAGCUAAAACUGGAUUAGAAAUAGACUUGACAGUUUUUCAGCUUCUAACCCUAAAAUUGUUGUUCAAGUUGUGGUUGUCACUGUCUUGGUGUGCCUUAUUCGUUGUUUGCAGGUUUAUGUACAAGUCACGCCAUCUGAUGCUAUAUAUUUUUACCGAUCUUUUUCUUUUCAUUAAUUCUUUUAUUGAUUAAAUGUUGUUUCUUUCCUUUCUAAUAGUCUAUAGUUAAGCGAUUUUUCAGUAAUUUAGCACUUGAGAAAUUUCAUAGCGUAAUAAAGAAUAGCAGAAGUUGGCAAUGAUUCUAACGUGUACUGAGUUUUUAGUUCUUUACCAUUGUGUAAUUGUAAGUCUAAUAAAAACC
This is a long non-coding RNA of Arabidopsis lyrata subsp. lyrata, 1959 nucleotides long. RefSeq lists it as uncharacterized. Lineage: Eukaryota; Viridiplantae; Streptophyta; Magnoliopsida; Brassicales; Brassicaceae. The transcript is spliced from 5 exons. The record is from RefSeq and is a predicted model, not a curated record.